CGAACCCGCGCGGGAGAGUCCCCGGCAGGCGUGUGCAGUACGCGCACGCCGGGGCGCCGAAGGAGCAAGAUCCUCCCUUGAAUCUCUCAGGCCCCGUUACCGCGCAGGCUAG
RNAcentral lists this non-coding RNA (112 nucleotides) under Streptomyces qinglanensis. Its description in RNAcentral is "Glycine sequence". It matches the Rfam family "Glycine riboswitch aptamer". Rfam says of the family: This family represents the bacterial glycine riboswitch. Glycine riboswitches usually consist of two metabolite-binding aptamers domains with similar structures in tandem. The aptamers cooperatively bind glycine to regulate the expression of downstream genes. The record is from Rfam by way of RNAcentral. Lineage: Bacteria; Bacillati; Actinomycetota; Actinomycetes; Kitasatosporales; Streptomycetaceae.